CCUACGGGCGGCAGCAGUGAGGAAUAUUGGUCAAUGGACGAGAGUCUGAACCAGCCAAGUAGCGUGAAGGAUGACUGCCCUAUGGGUUGUAAACUUCUUUUAUAUGGGAAUAAAAUGUUCCACGUGUGGGAUUUUGUAUGUACCAUAUGAAUAAGGUUCGGCUAACUCCGUGCCAGCAGCCGCGGUAAUACGGAGGAUCCGAGCGUUAUCCGGAUUUAUUGGGUUUAAAGGGAGCGUAGGUGGAUUGUUAAGUCAGUUGUGAAAGUUUGCGGCUCAACCGGAAAAUUGCAGUUGAAACUGGCAGUCUUGAGUACAGUAGAGGUGGGCGGAAUUCGUGGUGUAGCGGUGAAAUGCUUAGAUAUCACGAAGAACUCCGAUUGCGAAGGCAGUUCACUGGACUGCAACUGACACUGAGGCUCGAAAGUGUGGGUAUCAAACAGGAUUAGAUACCCUAGUAGUC
RNAcentral lists this ribosomal RNA (460 nucleotides) under uncultured bacterium. RNAcentral's name for it is "partial 16S ribosomal RNA". It matches the Rfam family "Bacterial small subunit ribosomal RNA", at positions 338 to 795 of the family's 1533-position model. The record is from RNAcentral.